This 499-nucleotide ribosomal RNA is filed under the name uncultured bacterium. RNAcentral describes it as "bacterial SSU rRNA". It matches the Rfam family "Bacterial small subunit ribosomal RNA", at positions 29 to 520 of the family's 1533-position model. The record is from RNAcentral.
AUUGAACGCUGGCGGCGUGCCUAACACAUGCAAGUCGAGCGGUAACAGGUGUAGCAAUACAUGCUGACGAGCGGCGGACGGGUGAGUAACGCUUGGGAAUCUGCCUAUUAGUGGGGGACAACCCGGGAAACGUCGGGCUAAUACCGCAUACGCACUACGGUGGAAAGCCGGGGACCGCAAGGCCUGGCGCUAACAGAUGAGCCCAAGUCGGAUUAGCUAGUUGGUAGGGUAACGGCCUACCAAGGCGACGAUCCGUAACUGGUCUGAGAGGACGACCAGUCACACCGGAACUGAGACACGGUCCGGACUCCUACGGGAGGCAGCAGUGGGGAAUAUUGGACAAUGGGCGAAAGCCUGAUCCAGCGACGCCGCGUGGGUGAAGAAGGCCUGCGGGUUGUAAAGCCCUUUCAGUGGGGAAGAAAAGCCUCGAGCUAACACCUCGGGGUCUUGACGUAACCCAUAGAAGAAGCACCGGCUAACUCUGUGCCAGCAGCAGCCG